GCGUGAGUGAUGAAGGCCUUAGGGUUGUAAAGCUCUUUCACCCACGACGAUGAUGACGGUAGUGGGAGAAGAAGCCCCGGCUAACUUCGUGCCAGCAGCCGCGGUAAUACGAAGGGGGCUAGCGUUGUUCGGAAUUACUGGGCGUAAAGCGCACGCAGGCGGUGGUCAUAGUCAGAAGUGAAAGCCCUGGGCUCAACCCGGGAAUUGCUUUUGAUACUGGACCGCUAGAAUCACGGAGAGGGUAGUGGAAUUCCGAGUGUAGAGGUGAAAUUCGU
Molecule: ribosomal RNA, 275 nt
Filed under: uncultured bacterium
Lineage: Bacteria
Description: partial 16S ribosomal RNA
Rfam family: Bacterial small subunit ribosomal RNA
Source: RNAcentral